This 476-nucleotide ribosomal RNA is filed under the name Nocardia amamiensis. RNAcentral describes it as "bacterial SSU rRNA". It matches the Rfam family "Bacterial small subunit ribosomal RNA", at positions 102 to 592 of the family's 1533-position model. Lineage: Bacteria; Bacillati; Actinomycetota; Actinomycetes; Mycobacteriales; Nocardiaceae. The record is from RNAcentral.
ACGGGUGAGUAACACGUGGGUGAUCUGCCUCGCACUUCGGGAUAAGCCUGGGAAACUGGGUCUAAUACCGGAUAUGACCACGGAUCGCAUGGUUUGUGGUGGAAAGGUUUACUGGUGCGAGAUGGGCCCGCGGCCUAUCAGCUUGUUGGUGGGGUAAUGGCCUACCAAGGCGACGACGGGUAGCCGGCCUGAGAGGGCGACCGGCCACACUGGGACUGAGACACGGCCCAGACUCCUACGGGAGGCAGCAGUGGGGAAUAUUGCACAAUGGGCGAAAGCCUGAUGCAGCGACGCCGCGUGAGGGAUGACGGCCUUCGGGUUGUAAACCUCUUUCGACAGGGACGAAGCGGAAGUGACGGUACCUGUAGAAGAAGCACCGGCCAACUACGUGCCAGCAGCCGCGGUAAUACGUAGGGUGCGAGCGUUGUCCGGAAUUACUGGGCGUAAAGAGCUUGUAGGCGGUUUGUCGCGUCGUC